This is a long non-coding RNA of Rana temporaria (common frog), 1895 nucleotides long. RefSeq lists it as uncharacterized. Lineage: Eukaryota; Metazoa; Chordata; Amphibia; Anura; Ranidae. The transcript is spliced from 4 exons. The record is from RefSeq and is a predicted model, not a curated record.
AGUGAUCUCCCCUCCGGAAAGAGGAGGGGAUUUUGAUAAAAAAAUCCUCCAACGUGAGGCCCGUUGGAUUUUUGACCAACGGGCCACCUAUGUACCAGGGCUCAACACAUCCCUGUCAUUUAAACCUUUUUUAUAGGGUAAUGCCAUGGCCGUGAUUAAUCAUCAUUAAACCCCAUUAGAAUACAUUUUAUACAUUCAUUUAUCAUUGGUUCAAAUCACAGAGAUUUAACUUAUAAAUCAUAUAUAUACUUUAAUAUAGGUCGCCCUGUUAGGGCUAAUUAUAUCUUUACCUUAGGUACCAGCCCUAUAUAGAUAUAAGGCAAAUUAUAUCUUUGCCUUAGGUACUAGUCCUAUAUAGAUAUAAUGAAUCAUUGGUGAUAAAUACAUGAUAUGAACUUUAUGAUCUAUGGCUAUAUUGCCUCUCCCUCUAUCAUUGGCUCAAAUGUAUCUCUUGUGUUUUUUGUUUUGCUUUUUUAUGUUUUUUGUUUUUGUUUUAUUUAUUUUCUUACUUGGAUUGUAUUUUGCUUUGUUCCAUCUUGCCUUGUUAUAUUAUGAUUUAUGAGUUAGCAAUUGGAAAAUGUCAAAACUUUCUAAAAAUAUUCAUUAUUGCAGAUGUCUUUUUCAUUAACCUUCCCUCAGAUAAGACAGUGUAAAAAUAAGCCAUUGGAUGUCCAGCUGAGAGAAAUCAGUAGUAUAUUCUAAUAUAUUUCUUCAUAGUUAAAUACACGCGUUAUUGCGUAUAACUUAUUAUUAGUGUUUAUUAAAAUUUUCUUUUUGCGUUUUCUGAGCUCUGAACCAUUCCAUUUAACAUGGGGAGGGAUUCCUGAUGCGGAGGGAGGUCGGAUCCUGCACAGCCUUGGUGUGGCCAAUCACAGGUCCCAACACAGGGGGCGUGCUCUCUUCAAUGCCUCCCGUCCCUAUUAUCAACAUCUGAUGGGACGCGCGCGCAUAUCCGGCCACUAUUUCGUCUCUGGCCGGUCUGAGACUGUUAAUACAUGUCUCCUUCCUAUGCGCUCCAGCUUACAUCAUCACGCUGGAGCGCAUGGGAUGCGCGCGCAAGUGUCUUGGGACACGUGGACCGGAUAUGACGCCAGGGGUCAUGCUUGACUCUCUUCACUUCCGGUGGAGAUGUUGCUCUUAAGGUCAGCGCUGACACAGUGUGUGUCAGACGCCGACUUGGACGGCUUGAGGGAGGAUAUCACGCCACACAUGCAACGCUGCCUUACUUAGCCUCGCGGUGUUAAGACAUAAAUAAGAAUCGCAGUAUAAACAACAUAUAUAACUGCCCUUGGACUAUUCUACAGCAUUGUCUUUGGUUAUAAUACUACUGGGAUAUUAUAUCCCCCUAGGACAUCAGCAUAUUUUACUAGAUACUUCAUGUCAUUAACCAUCUAAGAGCUUACCGUGAAUCCAGUGUGAACUCUGCUGGACUCUACUAGCAGUAUUGAGCUUAUAUCCAAACUUCACUACUAUUGAGGAGAGAAAUAGAUACAACGUAUUCUUACCUGUAUCUCUUCCUCCUUAACUGUGGUGAACCCCCUCUUUACAUCUCAUUGUCCGCACCUGCUAAAAUCAAGUGGAUCUGGCCUCCGCUGAUUGAAAGUGCAGCAUCCAAUAUCUCCUGUCCGCAUCAGGUUCGCCUUCGCUAUUUUUCUUGGCAGCUCCUCUUGGUUCUGCCAGGUUCUUUGAGCUCUUUAAACAUAAUUGGUAAGCGCACUAUAUUCUCUUAUUCUUAUUUUAUUAAUUGUAUAUGUGUUGAACACUUAUUUACAAAGUUUAAAGAUACUACAUUGACCCUACCUGAAUUAAUAAUGAACCUUUGUGUCAUACACAGACCACUACAUGUAAUUAAGGAACAGAAGUAUCAUGCAAGCCCUGAUGAAGCACAUCUAGUG